GAUGAACGCUGGCGGCGUGCCUAAUACAUGCCAGUCGAGCGAACGGACGAGAAGCUUGCUUCUCUGAUGUUAGCGGCGGACGGGUGAGUAACACGUGGAUAACCUACCUAUAAGACUGGGAUAACUUCGGGAAACCGGAGCUAAUACCGGAUAAUAUUUUGAACCGCAUGGUUCAAAAGUGAAAGGCGGUCUUGCUGUCACUUAUAGAUGGAUCCGCGCUGCAUUAGCUAGUUGGUAAGGUAACGGCUUACCAAGGCAACGAUGCAUAGCCGACCUGAGAGGGUGAUCGGCCACAAUGGAACUGAGACAAGGUCCAGACUCCUACGGGAGGCAGCAGUAGGGAAUCUUCCGCAAUGGGCGAAAGCCUGACGGAGCAACGCCGCGUGAGUGAUGAAGGUCUUCGGAUCGUAAAACUCUGUUAUUAGGGAAGAACAUAUGUGUAAGUAACUGUGCACAUCUUGACGGUACCUAAUCAGAAAGCCACGGCUAACUACGUG
This 497-nucleotide ribosomal RNA is filed under the name uncultured bacterium. RNAcentral's name for it is "partial 16S ribosomal RNA". It matches the Rfam family "Bacterial small subunit ribosomal RNA", at positions 28 to 507 of the family's 1533-position model. The record is from RNAcentral.